UGCCUUAACAUGCAAGUCGAACGGUAGAGUAGCAAUACUCGAGAGUGGCGAACGGGUGAGUAAUAUAUCGGAACGUGCCCAGUCGUGGGGGAUAACGUAAAGAAAUUUACGCUAAUACCGCAUACGAUCUAAGGAUGAAAGCGGGGGACUUCGCAAGAGGCCUCGCGCGAUUGGAGCGGCUGAUAUCAAAUUAGGUUGUUGGUGAGGUAAAAGCUCACCAAGCCGACGAUCUGUAGCUGGUUUGAGAGAACGACCAGCCACACUGGGACUGAGACACGGCCCAAACUCCUACGGGAGGCAGCAGUGGGGAAUUUUGGACAAUGGGCGAAAGCCUGAUCCAGCAAUGCCGCGUGUGGGAAGAAGGCCUUCGGGUUGUAAACCACUUUUGUACGGAACGAAACGGCUCGCCUUAAUACGGCGGGCUAAUGACGGUACCGUAAGAAUAAGCACCGGCUAACUACGUGCCAGCAGCCGCGGUAAUACGUAGGGUGCGAGCGUUAAUCGGAAUUACUGGGCGUAAAGCGUGCGCAGGCGGUUAUAUAAGACAGUUGUGAAAUCCCCGGGCUCAACCUGGGAAUUGCAUCUGUGACUGUAUAGCUAGAGUACGGUAGAGGGGGAUGGAAUUCCGCGUGUAGCAGUGAAAUGCGUAGAUAUGCGGAG
RNAcentral lists this ribosomal RNA (660 nucleotides) under uncultured bacterium. RNAcentral's name for it is "bacterial SSU rRNA". It matches the Rfam family "Bacterial small subunit ribosomal RNA", at positions 45 to 703 of the family's 1533-position model. The record is from RNAcentral.